Molecule: ribosomal RNA, 492 nt
Filed under: uncultured bacterium
Lineage: Bacteria
Description: partial 16S ribosomal RNA
Rfam family: Bacterial small subunit ribosomal RNA
Source: RNAcentral
AGUGAACGCUGGCGGUAGGCCUAACACAUGCAAGUCGAACGGCAGCACAGUAAGAGCUUGCUCUUACGGGUGGCGAGUGGCGGACGGGUGAGGAAUACAUCGGAAUCUACUUUUUCGUGGGGGAUAACGUAGGGAAACUUACGCUAAUACCGCAUACGACCUACGGGUGAAAGCAGGGGAUCUUCGGACCUUGCGCGAUUGAAUGAGCCGAUGUCGGAUUAGCUAGUUGGCGGGGUAACGUCCCACCAAGGCGACGAUCCGUAGCUGGUCUGAGAGGAUGAGCGGCCACACGGGAACGGAGAAAAGGUGCAGACGCCUACGGGAGGCAGCAGGCGGGAAGCUUCAGCCAUGGGGGAAAGCUUGACGGAGCAACGCCGCGGGAGUGAUGAAGGUUUUCGGAUCGUAAAAUUUUGUUAUUAGAGAAGAACAAAUGUGUAAGUAACUAGGCACGUCUUGAGGGUACCUAAUCAGAAAGCCACGGCUAACUACGUG